CAGUCGCCACGGUAAAACGAAGGGUGCAAGCGUUACUCGGAAUUACUGGGCGUAAAGCGUGCGUAGGUGGUGGUUUAAGUCCGUUGUGAAAGCCCUGGGCUCAACCUGGGAAUUGCAGUGGAUACUGGGUCACUAGAGUGUGGUAGAGGAUAGUGGAAUUUCCGGUGUAGCAGUGAAAUGCGUAGAGAUCGGAAGGAACAUCUGUGGCGAAGGCGACUAUCUGGGCCAACACUGACACUGAGGCACGAAAGCAUGGGGAGCAAACAGGAUUAGAUACCCCGGUAGUCCCUGUCUCUUAUAC
RNAcentral lists this ribosomal RNA (301 nucleotides) under uncultured bacterium. RNAcentral describes it as "partial 16S ribosomal RNA". It matches the Rfam family "Bacterial small subunit ribosomal RNA", at positions 509 to 807 of the family's 1533-position model. The record is from RNAcentral.